GUAUUCGUGGUUUAAUGAUCAGAACACUCGGCUUGUAUUCGAGAGUUCCGAGGUUCGAGUUCCGCGAGAGCA
This 72-nucleotide transfer RNA is filed under the name Stegodyphus mimosarum. It matches the Rfam family "tRNA". Rfam says of the family: Transfer RNA (tRNA) molecules are approximately 80 nucleotides in length. Their secondary structure includes four short double-helical elements and three loops (D, anti-codon, and T loops). The record is from Rfam by way of RNAcentral. Lineage: Eukaryota; Metazoa; Arthropoda; Arachnida; Araneae; Eresidae.